GAAAGCUGCUGCUGCUACUCGUAUGCCAUGUAGAUCGUCGUUGUUCUUGAUGUAUGUAUCUUUGGGCAAUAGGAAACCUCCUCAUUAUGAUUGACAUAGGAUAAAUCUGCAGGCCUCAUGCAAAGAAGCAUCGUAGGGCUCGUAUUCCAUAACAUAGCUGUGGGGAAGCUUCAAGUGCCCGAAGCUCUGGUGGUCAAAAUACAUGAAUGGCAUCACUCAUCAUCUUCAUUUCAUGGUGUGUCCUCUGAUAAUCAAUAAAAGCCUGUUUUGAUCUACUAAUACAUAUAUGAUUGUUGUUUGAGUAUACUAUUAAGAACAACUGAAUUCUACAAAAAGACUCUUAUUCUAUGAAAGGCCGGGUAUGAUGUUGCGAGGGAGUUGUUGUCUCCAAGUAAAGGAUAUGGUGCUCUAGGAGGCUGGCUUAAUUUUUGGUGGAGCGCCUGUAGAGAUGUUGAGAUUGAUUGAUGGAGAGAGGUGUAAGCAUUGAUGGGCACUGUGGAGUUUAUAUUGGUGUAUUGAAAGACAGUAUUCAUGGGUGUUGGAGUGCUCUUUUGCUGCGAAUUGUUGGGGUGCUGCAAUACCAUUGCAUUAAUAUUUGGAUUAUGUCUGUUUUAUGGUUUAUAAAAGACUUAUUUCUUUGAUAUUUAUGGUUUUUUCUUUUAACAAUAACUUCUUCAAAAAUUGAUCUUUCUGUGAGUGCGAUUAACCUUAUAAUUGUACAAAACACUUGUUAAUUUUGUGAUGAUAUUUUUCUUUUUG
RNAcentral lists this unclassified non-coding RNA (759 nucleotides) under Hevea brasiliensis (rubber tree). The record is from RNAcentral. Lineage: Eukaryota; Viridiplantae; Streptophyta; Magnoliopsida; Malpighiales; Euphorbiaceae.